CUGUAGCUCAGUUGGAUAGAGCAACGCCCUUCUAAGGCGUGGGCCAGGGGUUCGAAUCCCUUCAGU
This 66-nucleotide transfer RNA is filed under the name fish gut metagenome. It matches the Rfam family "tRNA", at positions 5 to 66 of the family's 71-position model. Rfam says of the family: Transfer RNA (tRNA) molecules are approximately 80 nucleotides in length. Their secondary structure includes four short double-helical elements and three loops (D, anti-codon, and T loops). The record is from RNAcentral.